This 468-nucleotide ribosomal RNA is filed under the name uncultured bacterium. Its description in RNAcentral is "partial 16S ribosomal RNA". It matches the Rfam family "Bacterial small subunit ribosomal RNA", at positions 28 to 507 of the family's 1533-position model. The record is from RNAcentral.
GACCAACGCUGGCGGCGUGCUUAACACAUGCAAGUCGAACGGAAAGGCCCUGCUUUUGUGGGGUGCUCGAGUGGCGAACGGGUGAGUAACACGUGAGUAACCUGCCCUUGACUUUGGGAUAACUUCAGGAAACUGGGGCUAAUACCGGAUAGGAGCUCCUGCUGCAUGGUGGGGGUUGGAAAGUUUCGGCGGUUGGGGAUGGACUCGCGGCUUAUCAGCUUGUUGGUGGGGUAGUGGCUUACCAAGGCUUUGACGGGUAGCCGGCCUGAGAGGGUGACCGGCCACAUUGGGACUGAGAUACGGACCAGACGCCUACGGGAGGCAGCAGUGGGGAAUAUUGCACAAUGGGCGGAAGCCUGAUGCAGCAACGCCGCGGGCGGGAUGACGGCCUUCGGGUUGUAAACCGCUUUCGCCUGUGACGAAGCGUGAGUGACGGUAAUGGGUAAAGAAGCACCGGCUAACUACGUG